RNAcentral lists this ribosomal RNA (305 nucleotides) under uncultured bacterium. RNAcentral describes it as "bacterial SSU rRNA". It matches the Rfam family "Bacterial small subunit ribosomal RNA", at positions 524 to 776 of the family's 1533-position model. The record is from RNAcentral.
UACGUAGGAUGCAAGCGUUGUCCGGAUUUACUGGGCGUAAAGCGCGCGCAGGCGGCAGUACAAGUACCCUCUGAAAUCUCCUUGCUCAACGAGGAGGGUGGAGGGUAGACUGUGCAGCUAGAGGAGGGUAGAGGGGGGUAGAAUUGCUGGUGUAGCGGUGAAAUGCGUAGAGAUCAGCAGGAAUACCCGUGGCGAAGGCGGCCCCCUGGGCCCUAAAGCCUUCUCUUUGAGAGGACAUUGGUUUACCAGUGUUACUCAAGAGAGAAACCUGACGCUGAGGCGCGAAGGCUAGGGGAGCGAACGGG